GUGGGGAAUAUUGGACAAUGGGCGAAAGCCUGAUCCAGCCAUGCCGCGUGUGUGAAGAAGGUCUUCGGAUUGUAAAGCACUUUAAGUUGGGAGGAAGGGUAGUAACCUAAUACGUUGCUACUUUGACGUUACCGACAGAAUAAGCACCGGCUAACUUCGUGCCAGCAGCCGCGGUAAUACGAAGGGUGCAAGCGUUAAUCGUAAUUACUGGGCGUAAAGCGCGCGUAGGUGGUUCAGUAAGUUGGAAGUGAAAUCCCCGGGCUCAACCUGGGAACUGCUUUCAAAACUGCUGAGCUAGAGUACGGUAGAGGGUGGUGGAAUUUCCUGUGUAGCGGUGAAAUGCGUAGAUAUAGGAAGGAACACCAGUGGCGAAGGCGACCACCUGGACUGAUACUGACACUGAGGUGCGAAAGCGUGGGGAGCAAACAGGAUUAGAUACACCUGUAGUCC
Molecule: ribosomal RNA, 450 nt
Filed under: uncultured bacterium
Lineage: Bacteria
Description: partial 16S ribosomal RNA
Rfam family: Bacterial small subunit ribosomal RNA
Source: RNAcentral